RNAcentral lists this ribosomal RNA (447 nucleotides) under uncultured bacterium. RNAcentral's name for it is "bacterial SSU rRNA". It matches the Rfam family "Bacterial small subunit ribosomal RNA", at positions 355 to 825 of the family's 1533-position model. The record is from RNAcentral.
UGGGGAAUAUUGGACAAUGGGCGCAAGCCUGAUCCAGCCAUGCCGCGUGAGUGACGAAGGCCUUAGGGUUGUAAAGCUCUUUUGGCGGGGAAGAUAAUGACGGUACCCGCAGAAUAAGCUCCGGCUAACUUCGUGCCAGCAGCCGCGGUAAUACGAAGGGAGCUAGCGUUGUUCGGAAUCACUGGGCGUAAAGCGCACGUAGGUGGGCAGUUAAGUCAGGGGUGAAAGCCCGAGGCUCAACCUCGGAAUUGCCUCUGAUACUGGCUGUCUAGAGUUCGAGAGAGGUGAGUGGAAUUCCUAGUGUAGAGGUGAAAUUCGUAGAUAUUAGGAAGAACACCGGUGGCGAAGGCGACUCACUGGCUCGAUACUGACACUGAGGUGCGAAAGCGUGGGGAGCAAACAGGAUUAGAUACCCACGUAGUCCCUGAGCGGGCUGGCAAGGCGCAU